GCGCACCAGGCGCGAACCUUCGCAAUGCGGGAAACCGCGACGAGGGACUCCCAGUGCCUACGCUCAGCGUAGGCUGUUCCCGAGCCUAGAAAGCUCGGGGAGUAAGGGCUGGGUAAGACGGGUGCCAGCCGCCGCGGUAAUACCCGCAGCCCGAGUGGUGGCCACUAUUAUUGGGCCUAAAGCGUCCGUAGCCGGCCCGGUAAAUGCCUGGGUAAAUCGUGAGGCCUAACCUCACGAAUUCCGGGUAGACUGCCGGGCUAGGGACCGGAGGAGGGAGAGGGUACUCCAGGGGUAGGGGUGAAAUCCUGUAAUCCCUGGAGGACCACCGGUGGCGAAGGCGCUCUCCUAGGACGGGUCCGACGGUGAGGGACGAAAGCCAGGGGAGCGAACCGGAUUAGAUACCCCGGUAGU
This 411-nucleotide ribosomal RNA is filed under the name uncultured microorganism. Its description in RNAcentral is "bacterial SSU rRNA". It matches the Rfam family "Archaeal small subunit ribosomal RNA", at positions 330 to 745 of the family's 1478-position model. The record is from RNAcentral.